Long non-coding RNA from Leopardus geoffroyi (Geoffroy's cat), 5360 nucleotides. RefSeq lists it as uncharacterized. NCBI's taxonomy places the organism in Eukaryota, Metazoa, Chordata, Mammalia, Carnivora, Felidae. The record is from RefSeq and is a predicted model, not a curated record. The transcript has 2 exons.
UCCUUAUUUUCCACCAGCUGACUGCCAGUUCUCAUUACGGAGCGGGUGUCUGUGUAAACGUGUGGCCCACGUGGGCGCAUGCAGGCCCACCUGGAGUAUUGCACGUUUCAUGUGCAUCUCCCAGUGUUUCUAUCCCGGUCUGCCAUUUCCUGGCAGUGUCCUCUGGGGCUAAUUAUGUUGGAGCCUCAGUUCGUCCAACUGUGGAAUGGAGGCGAGAAGUCAAUCUGUGUCACCAUGGAGAGUACAUGGAAUGAAGCAUGGAAAGGGGUGUUGCAGCAGUAAAGCCCUGUGUGCAUGUUGGUUAAAGCCAACAUUCAGUAAAUGUGAAACAAAUAAGACACUCAGCCACACGCGUGACCGGUGAACAUGUCCGUAUGAGUCUGUUGUCAAGUUUGAAGCGUCACCGCUUUCUUUCUGGGGAGUACAAUUCACCUUUGCUUACGUAUUGCUUUCACUUCUUACUUAUCAUCUGUGUUCACGCACAGUGUGCUCACCUAAAUCUAUAACAUCUCCGGAGAUGCAUUACUACCCAGUUUUGCCACCUUGUGGCAUUUAAUUUUACACCUCUUUACCAUUAGCUUCGUUUUAUAAAUUUGCUUUUGUGCGAUGACUCAUCCUUAACUUUCAUUAGUUAACUCUGCUUUUAAUUGCAUAAAAGAUUACUCUUUGAUUCGAUAUCUGUGCUGAUAGAUUAUUUUCUGCGAACCUCCGUUAACCAGUUAUGUGGUCCAAAGAUUCCCUUAGCGUUGGAUUUCCAUAGUGUUCUGCAUCUUAUGUCCACAGUGAUUUAACUCAGUGCUGUGGUCUGAACGUUUGUAGCCCCCCCCCCCCACUCCAGUUCAGACAGUGAAUGCUGAAUCCCUGACGUGAUAGUGCCAGGAGGUGGACCUUUGGGAGGUGAACAGGUGAUGAAGGUAGAACCCUCCCACCUGGGACCAGUGCCCUGAUAAAAGAGAGCCUGCACAGCUAGGUCACGCUCCCUACCUCGUGAGAACACAGCAAGAAGCAGGCUCUCAGCAGGCACUGACUGCACCUUGAUCUUGGAUGUCCCGGCCACCAGAAAUGUGAGAAAUCAAUGUCUGUUUGUCUAUAAGCUACCCGGUCUGUAGCUCCCAAAUGGACCAACACAGGAAAGUGGGGCGCUUCCGUAACACAUAUCUAUGCAUUCAGAAGCAGCUUUGGAACCAGGUAGCAGACAGAGUCUGGGGGACACUAGAGGUACAUGCUAGAAAGAGCCCCCGUUGCCAUGAAUGGACCUUUAGAGGUGAUUCUAAAGAGGACGUGGAAAAGAACGAGAAGAGCUGGAGAGAGAGCCGCCAUAUUCGUAAUGAAUCCCUAAGGGCCUGGAAACAGAAUCCGUAGGACUGUGCGUGGCACAGGCAUUCUGAUGAGGUCUCGGAAAGAAACAAGGACAUGUCCUCAAACGCUGUAGGAGCAAGGCCCUCCUUGCUAUGAGGGAGCAAAGAACCUGCCUGAACUGUGUUCUUGUCCCAGCGUUUUCUGGAAGGUUGAACUUGGAAGGGAUGAAAAUGAAUACUUGAUGAGUCCUCAUUCCAAGCAGAGCGUUGAAGGAGCAGUCUGGUUUCUCUUGACUGCUUAUAUAAAAUGCAAGAAGAGAGAAAUGACUUAAAGAUGGAAUUGCUUACCAAAGGCAAGGUAGAACUUAAAACUUUGGGACUUUCUCAGCCUGUCCUUAUUUGGAAAGAAUGACAGCCUCUUGGGAAAAGAGCUGGAAGAGGUGGCUAAACCAGUCAUCUGAUGAGGCUGUUGUCAGCCUUAUAAAGAGAAGCCAGGACUAUUGUCCCAAGACAAUGGAAGUAUGACCCCUGAGGCAUCUCAGAGAGGUCACAGGAGGCCUGCCCCUCUCAUGAGAAGCCCAGAGAAUACGGGCAAGUGUAGACACACCCUCACCUCUCACAGGCCAGUCCUCCCUGCCUUAGAGCCAUGGGAGAGGGCCCACCAUGGAGACCCCAGACAGAGCGCAGUGGGCAGAGGGUUCCAGCCCCAGGGAGCCUCUGGCGGGAGACUGAGGCACAGAGGAGGGGCCCAAGCCCUGCCCAGCAAAGCUUCAGGGGCAGGGCCCUGCCCCCAUGGGCUUGGAAGGCACAACAUCAAGCCACGGAGGACUACCCUCCAGCCUUCAAGUCUAGUGGCACUUGCCCCCUUGGGUUUCAGACUUGCUCUGAAUGCUUCUUCUUGCCUUCCUAUUUCUCCCUUUGGAAGUGCCUUCUCACCGCAUAUUUGGGAAAUGCAUAACCUGACUGAUCUAAUAGGUUCCCAGCUGGACAGCAGAUUGCCUCAGGAUGAACGGUACUUCAGGUCCCACCCAGAGUUGAGUUAGAUGCUAUUUGCGUGAGGCUUUGAGCUUUAAACUUUGGAGUCGAUGCUAGAACAACUUAAGACUUUUUUGGGUACGGGGAGGGGAUGAGUAUAUUUCGCAUGCAGGAAGGACAUGAAUUUGGGGGAGCCAGGGGUGAAAUGCUAGGUCUUGAAUGUUUCUGUCACCACAAUUCACGUUGAACCUAACUCCCGUGAGAUGAUAUUAGCAGGUGGGGCCUAUGGGGGUGAUUAGGUUAUGAGGGCCAAAUCCUCAUGAAUGAGAACAGUGCCCUCAUAAAGUGACCCCAAAGAGCACCCUGGCCCCUUCGGCCACAUGAGGACACAGUGGGAAGAUGGCUGUCCAUGAACCAGGAAGUGGGCUCUCACCAGACACCAGACCUGCUGAUGCCCUGUUCUUGGACUUUGUGCUCCCCAGAACUGUGAUAAAUGUGUAUUGUUUAGAAGUCCCCCAAUUUAUGGUAUUUCGUACAGCAGCCAGAGUUGACUAAGACACUCCGUGUUGGGGUUUUCCCCCAUUGUUUGUAUACCACUUCAGGUGUGCCUAAGUCACACCUGUGGUCUGCAGGUGUUAUUAUUUUGUGCAGAACUCAUUUGUGCUGAGUACGCCCCUCCCCCUAGUAGUGACUGAGCAGAGACAGGGAGGCAGUUGUGAAGUGUGCUACGAGGCCAGUAGGAGAUGAGCCCCAGAGGGAGGAUCCCUUUAUACAGUGAAACCAGAGCCCCGAGGGGCCCCCUCCGCCAAACACCUCCCUUGUUCUCAUCAACCAGGGACAUCCAUUUGGGGUGCCUCACCCUUUUUGGGGAUGAAUUGUGGGGGCAGAUAAAAAUGUAUCCUUGGAGGAUGAACUCCACUGAUCAUUUCUGUGGGUCGGAUGUGUUGAGGAGAUCAACACCACGUUGAGGUCAGUUUCUGCAAAGGCAUUUGGUACCUUGGUGAUGGAAAGCCUAGCCCUUGUCUUCGGUGGAGUGUGGGUGGGACCACUGACUUCUCAGUGCCUUAGCUUCUCUGUCAGUUGGAAUGCACACUCCCACCUACCCCACAAAUUGCUAUGCAGACCAGCUGCAGUCAUGUGUGGGGGGGCACUUACCAACUCAGGGGCCCUUGCUCUCCAGGCUCUUGUCCCGUGUACCAUAGGUCCUUAGCGAUUCCUUUACUAGCGGGCCCCGUUACACAUUAUCCCGGGAAUUCUGGGCUAUCUUUCUUCACAAGGAAACAUGCAGCCAGGAAAUGCAAGCACAUCUUAAUAUCAGCCUUCAGCAAAGUGUGACGAGGGAGGUAAAUCCUUUGUAUCUGAGAAAGUCCUAGGUCACUUCCUCAGCAGAGCAGACAUGAUUGUGAAGUUAACUGUGCCAUGGCGUGCUGGUGGUGACCGCUUGUGUGCAUUAGGACCAAGCGCUGAAUUCUUCACGUUGUAAAGCUGGUGGACGCAGGUAGUGUGAGCUGGUCAUUUGACCCAAGUGAAUGCUCGUGGAUCGACAGUCCCAGGAAGGCUUUCGUGCAGAACCGUGCCCCGCUUGCAAAGAACCACCCUCUCUCCAUCGUGCUGAAGUCCCGUGUUGCCGCACGCUUAGCGAGAAUGCUCUUACGGCAAGAUCUUUGCACAUUUCGCCUAGUGAAGGUGAACGAAGGCCUGAUGUAAGAUUGUUCGUUAUCCUGGGAAGCCUGGGAAGAUAAAUUUGACCAUGUCUUUGAAUUUCAGCUACACCAGCAGGUUCUGAAUAAAUAGCCAGCUCCUCAUUAAACUCCACAGCAAACUUUAGGCAUAAAUGAAACUUGUUGGGAAUUCAUUCUCGAAGGAAGCCAGGCCACAUAAUUUUCUAAACACCCCUUUUCUAUAACAUGUAAAAUGAAAAGAGCUAGUCAGAGCGUGCAUUGAAUAUGCACUUGGCGAUGCUUUGUGCGUUGCUAGAGGAUGUCACUAGCUUUUAUUUUUAUCAUUGUGUAUUUAGUAAGAAUGAGACAAAAAAGCAAAUCAACGUUCUGACCUCUGUGCACUGUUUAAAGUACUGAGUCCUGUGAUGGGCCAUGGGUGGCAAGACCCAGAUGUUACAUCCGUGUGUCAGCCACAACGCUAUUGACAUUUGGGGUCUGAUACUUGUCUGUGGUGGGGGCUGGCCUGUGCACUAAUAGGUGUGUAGAAGCAUCCCUUGACUCUACCCACUAGAUGCCAGUAGUAACCAUUCCCCCACCACCACACACACAAUUGUGACAAAUAAAACUGUCUCCAGGCAUCGCUAAAUGUCCCCAGGAAACAAAGACACUGUUCCCUUCACUGAGAACCUCUACUCUAUGUGUGUGGAGCUUUAUUGGUGAGAAAAAUUUCACUGGGAAAACAACGAGGUAAGACACGCUGUAUGGACAUGUUUAGACCUACUGUGUGUCCUAUUACGUGGCCUCAGAGUGUGAGUCUUCGCCUCUUUCCUUCGAACGUUCCAUUUGCUUGCAACAAAAUGGUGGCAAACAGACCACGAAUAAGACAGACCACUUAGUUCUCUACUGUGGAAGCUAAUUUUCCCACUGAACUUGGUCCGAUAUGCAAAUCAGCAGCCCACGUACAGGGAAAGUGAGUUAUGUCAGAAUAAAUACAUUGAUUUGGAGGACUGAUAGGUAUUUUCUAGUUCACUGCAGUCCUCAUAUCAUUUAGGAAGAUUCGUACUCUUAUCUGUAGGAAAGUAAUUGAAUAGCAUUUUUCAACCAAACACCGAAAACACUUGCAAGCAUUAACUUGUGAACUUUACAUUAUACUCUGACAUGGAGAGGGGGGAGGAAAAACACAUCAUUCUGAUUCUAAUGGUGGUGAUUUUUUUUUUUUUUUUGCUAGGCACAUAUGAUUAUUUAUGCAGCAUAAUGAAAUAAAUCGUUAUAUUUACAGAGUGUCUUUGGUUCUUUAAAGACCCUUAAGUACUGUAAUUUCACAAUAUGUCUGCUAUCCCCAGAGCGUUCCAGUGAUUGCCACAGCACGAUGUUGCUUUUUGCCAAAUUACUUCAUUAAAUAGCCACAGCGUGUCUACAAAACAUA